UACAGAGGGCUCAAGCGUUGUUCGGAUUCAUUGGGCGUAAAGGGUGCGUAGGCGGCGCGGUAAGUCGGAUGUGAAAUCUCGGGGCUUAACUCCGAAACUGCAUUCGAUACUGCCGUGCUUGAGGACUGGAGAGGAGACUGGAAUUUACGGUGUAGCGGUGAAAUGCGUAGAUAUCGUAAGGAAGACCAGUGGCGAAGGCGGGUCUCUGGACAGUUCCUGACGCUGAGGCACGAAGGCCAGGGGAGCAAACGGG
RNAcentral lists this ribosomal RNA (253 nucleotides) under uncultured bacterium. Its description in RNAcentral is "partial 16S ribosomal RNA". It matches the Rfam family "Bacterial small subunit ribosomal RNA", at positions 524 to 776 of the family's 1533-position model. The record is from RNAcentral.